This 76-nucleotide transfer RNA is filed under the name Leptolinea tardivitalis. RNAcentral describes it as "tRNA-Thr". It matches the Rfam family "tRNA". Rfam says of the family: Transfer RNA (tRNA) molecules are approximately 80 nucleotides in length. Their secondary structure includes four short double-helical elements and three loops (D, anti-codon, and T loops). Further hydrogen bonds mediate the characteristic L-shaped molecular structure. tRNAs have two regions of fundamental functional importance: the anti-codon, which is responsible for specific mRNA codon recognition, and the 3' end, to which the tRNAs corresponding amino acid is attached (by aminoacyl-tRNA synthetases). tRNAs cope with the degeneracy of the genetic code in two manners: having more than one tRNA (with a specific anti-codon) for a particular amino acid; and 'wobble' base-pairing, i.e. permitting non-standard base-pairing at the 3rd anti-codon position. Lineage: Bacteria; Bacillati; Chloroflexota; Anaerolineae; Anaerolineales; Anaerolineaceae. The record is from RNAcentral.
GCCACCGUAGCUCAGCUGGCAGAGCAGACGUUUCGUAAACGCCAGGUCAUGGGUCCGAAUCCCAUCGGUGGCUCAA